Molecule: ribosomal RNA, 78 nt
Filed under: Lehmannia marginata
Lineage: Eukaryota; Metazoa; Mollusca; Gastropoda; Stylommatophora; Limacidae
Description: partial 5.8S ribosomal RNA
Source: RNAcentral
CAUUGGAAUCGACAUCUUGAACGCAUAGUGUGCGGCCUCGGGCUCCAUCCCGAGGCCACGCCCGUCUGAGGGUCGGCU